Molecule: long non-coding RNA, 462 nt
Organism: Suricata suricatta (meerkat)
Lineage: Eukaryota; Metazoa; Chordata; Mammalia; Carnivora; Herpestidae
Exons: 5
Source: RefSeq, a predicted model, not a curated record
AUCCUCUAGCAUUCAGAUGAUAGCUACCCCAGCCAGCACCUUGACUACAACCUCAGGAGAGACCAUGAGCCAGAACCAUUCAGCUAAACUGCUCCCAGAGUCCAGACCCUCAGAAACUGAGAAGAGUCACUCAUACAGGAAUUAGUUUUAGAAAAAGCCAGAUGCCAAACAUACAUGAGCUGAGAAGAUGAAAGAGUAAAUUGAAUGCUGGGGGAGGAAGCUAGAUACAUUUGAAUGAGGACAAGAAAAUCACUGCAGUAGAAGAAUAAGAUUAAAUUGACUACAAAAUGCUGAAGUCAGUACAAAGAGAUCAACUAAGAUUGAGCAAACUCAUAGGUUUUGUGACCAACAAUAUAUUGCAAUCCGAGGGAAGAAAUGGAAGCAUUAUGAGCCAUUUUCAAAGGCUGUCACAAAAUGCACGCUGUAAUCACUGAACUGAAGAGAAUGAGUCCUUCCUGAUAU